This 24-nucleotide non-coding RNA is filed under the name Drosophila erecta. Lineage: Eukaryota; Metazoa; Arthropoda; Insecta; Diptera; Drosophilidae. RNAcentral also lists the same sequence under 1 other name. The record is from RNAcentral.
CUGGAUCUCAUGGAGGCACUUCCC